CCUACGGGGGGCUGCAGUGGGGAAUAUUGGACAAUGGGGGCAACCCUGAUCCAGCCAUGCCGCGUGUGUGAAGAAGGCCCUCGGGUUGUAAAGCACUUUCAGUGAGGAAGAACGCCUGGUGGUUAAUACCCAUCAGGAAAGACAUCACUCACAGAAGAAGCACCGGCUAACUCCGUGCCAGCAGCCGCGGUAAUACGGAGGGUGCGAGCGUUAAUCGGAAUUACUGGGCGUAAAGCGCGCGUAGGUGGCUUGAUAAGCCGGUUGUGAAAGCCCCGGGCUCAACCUGGGAACGGCAUCCGGAACUGUCAAGCUAGAGUGCAGGAGAGGAAGGUAGAAUUCCCGGUGUAGCGGUGAAAUGCGUAGAGAUCGGGAGGAAUACCAGUGGCGAAGGCGGCCUUCUGGACUGACACUGACACUGAGGUGCGAAAGCGUGGGUAGCAAACAGGAUCAGAUACCCUAGUAGUC
This 465-nucleotide ribosomal RNA is filed under the name Vreelandella stevensii. RNAcentral's name for it is "partial 16S ribosomal RNA". It matches the Rfam family "Bacterial small subunit ribosomal RNA", at positions 338 to 795 of the family's 1533-position model. Lineage: Bacteria; Pseudomonadati; Pseudomonadota; Gammaproteobacteria; Oceanospirillales; Halomonadaceae. The record is from RNAcentral.